AACUAUUUAACUAAAAGGUAAGUUCAUGUCUUGAAUACAUGUCACAGUUGUUCAAUUCAACUAAUAGUUU
Molecule: transfer RNA, 70 nt
Filed under: Nesomachilis australica
Lineage: Eukaryota; Metazoa; Arthropoda; Insecta; Archaeognatha; Meinertellidae
Description: tRNA-Ser
Rfam family: tRNA
About the family: Transfer RNA (tRNA) molecules are approximately 80 nucleotides in length. Their secondary structure includes four short double-helical elements and three loops (D, anti-codon, and T loops).
Source: RNAcentral